Long non-coding RNA from Mandrillus leucophaeus (drill), 559 nucleotides. RefSeq lists it as uncharacterized. The transcript has 3 exons. The record is from RefSeq and is a predicted model, not a curated record. Lineage: Eukaryota; Metazoa; Chordata; Mammalia; Primates; Cercopithecidae.
GGAGUGGGAGACGCUGGCUCAGGAUAAUAAUAAUGGCAGUUUCUCUCAUCUGUGUUUUCAGGGCGUGGACUGGAACUCCCAGUGCCCCUGACAUGGGCUGAGUCAACGUAAUCGUAAACAUGUGACAGGAGGCAGCAGAAGUUGCAGAGAAGAGUGAGGCACGUUUGAAAAAUGCUGAAGAAUGAAAAGUGUUUCUGUCCAGGUGAGGGUGUCUGCUGAAUGACUUGGAUUUUUUGGUGCAUUAAAUGAACAGCACGACGUCAGACACCUGCUGACCCAUCACUCCAGGGCCCGGGCCGGCAUGUGGAUGGAGAGAGAGGGAGAAGACCAGGCACGAGACUGUGGAGAGCCACACCACCAGAAAUCCCUGCCCGAUUCACCGUCCAGCCCACACCUGUGGAUGCACAGGGAGUUGCAGGCAGGGCUCCCACGGCGGACUCAGGAACAGGCAGGGCAGCUGCUGCCUCGCCAGGUGAAGGGACCAGGAUGGGGAGGCAGAGAGGCCUGUCCAGCCCCUGUGGCUGUUACCAUGGGUGCCUCCUCACUGCCCAGUGCGGCC